UAAAAACAACAAACCCCUAUAAAUACCCCCUAAGACACUCAAUAAUUACACCAAACAAACCAUUUUACCCCCUAAGUACGGGCGACAGAAAAGGAACCGUCGCGCCAUAGAGAAAGUACCGCAAGGGAACGCUGAAAGAGAAAUGAAAUAACCCAGUAAAGCCUAAAAAAGCAGAGAUUCAAACUCGUACCUUUUGCAUCAUGAUUUAGCUAGAAAAUCUCAAGCAAAGAGCACUUUAGUUUGACUCCCCGAAACUACGUGAGCUACUCCAAGACAGCCUUAACAUAAGGGCAAACCCGUCUCUGUGGCAAAAGAGUGGGAAGAGCUUUGAGUAGUGGUGACAGACCUAUCGAACCUAGUUAUAGCUGGUUGCCUGAGAAAUGAAUAGAAGUUCAGCCUCUCGGAUUCUCUCCUCACACCCUGCCCCUAAGACAGCCAAGGACAACCAAAGAAGCCGAAAGAGUUAGUUAAAGGGGGUACAGCCCCUUUGACACAAGACACAACUUUUCCAGGUGGGUAAAGAUCAUAUUUAACUACUAAGGUAAAAUGUCCAGGUGGGCCUAAAAGCAGCCACCCCCCACAGAAUGCGUUAUAGCUCAUACAUGUAUACCACCCCCAAUCCUGAUAAAUUUAUCUUAACCCCCUAACCCUACCAGGCCGUCCUAUGCAUCCAUAGGAGCGACCAUGCUAAUAUGAGUAAUAAGAGAAUAUUCGCCUCUCUCCCCGCACAAGUGUAACUCGGAUCGAACCCCCACCGAACCUUAACGACCCCAAACAAAGAGGGCCUUGAACAACAAACCCGCCAACUAGAAAAACACUCAACACUUCAACCGUUAAACCUACACUGGAGUGCCCCCAGGAAAGACUCAUAGAAAAAGAAGGAACUCGGCAAACACAUAAAGCCUCGCCUGUUUACCAAAAACAUCGCCUCUUGCAAAAUUAAUGAAUAAGAGGUCCUGCCUGCCCCGUGACCAUGUGUUUAACGGCCGCGGUAUUUUGACCGUGCGAAGGUAGCGCAAUCACUUGUCUUUUAAAUAAAGACCUGUAUGAAUGGCAAGACGAGGGCUUAACUGUCUCCUUUUUUAAGUCAAUGAAAUUGAUCUUCCCGUGCAGAAGCGGGAAUUCCUCCAUAAGACGAGAAGACCCUAUGGAGCUUCAGACACUAAGACAGAUCACGUCAAAACCCCCUAAUAAAGGACUGAACUAAAUGGUUCCUGCCCUAAUGUCUUCGGUUGGGGCGACCCCGGGGAACUACAAAACCCCCGCGUGGAAUGAGAGCACCUCCCCCUCCCCCCAUUGCUCCCACAACUAAGAGCCUCCGCUCUAAUAAACAGAAUUUCUGACCAAUACAGAUCCGGCAACGCCGAUCAACGGACCAAGUUACCCUAGGGAUAACAGCGCAAUCCUCUUUUAGAGCCCAUAUCGACAAGAGGGUUUACGACCUCGAUGUUGGAUCAGGACAUCCUAAUGGUGCAGCCGCUAUUAAGGGUUCGUUUGUUCAACGAUUAAAGUCCUACGUGAUCUGAGUUCAGACCGGAGCAAUCCAGGUCAGUUUCUAUCUAUGCCUUGCUCUUUCCUAGUACGAAAGGACCGAAAAGAAAGGACCCAUACUACAAGUACGCCCUACCCUCACCCAAUGCAAACAACUAAAAUAGACAAGAGGACAUAUUCACUCCGCCCAAGAAAAUGGCCU
RNAcentral lists this ribosomal RNA (1693 nucleotides) under Protonibea diacanthus. RNAcentral describes it as "12S ribosomal RNA". The stretch from base 76 to 1578 matches the Rfam family "Bacterial large subunit ribosomal RNA". The record is from RNAcentral. Lineage: Eukaryota; Metazoa; Chordata; Actinopteri; Sciaenidae.